This is a long non-coding RNA of Micropterus dolomieu (smallmouth bass), 2465 nucleotides long. RefSeq lists it as uncharacterized. The transcript is spliced from 3 exons. Lineage: Eukaryota; Metazoa; Chordata; Actinopteri; Centrarchiformes; Centrarchidae. The record is from RefSeq and is a predicted model, not a curated record.
UCCCUGCUGACCUGCAGCAGCAAUGUAAUUAGGACUUAGAUGUACAGCUGAGUUAGACUUGGACCUCCGGCAGUGUCUGACUAACAUAGCAGCUGCUAGGACCCCAGAGCUGAACAUGAAGGAAGCCCCACUGAGGAAGAAGGUUGCUGUGUAGUUUCCAGUCCUGUCUACUAACCAACCUGGAGAAAGAGAAAAAGGAAAUAUGUGUUAUAGCUUAGUGGGAAAAAAACACAAACCUUUAGGGUAAAAUACCAAAUGUGUUAUCUGGCUCUAAGCAGCUAGCUGUGAUUCCAGGAUUUGAAAUGUCGCUUCCUUGUUUUCCUCAGUUUAUGCGCAAACUGUGUACAAAUAUUUUGUAAUGUUGUUAACACUAGUGAAAUGGAAAGGAUAUCAGAUUAACUGCUUUAUUCCACAAAAACAAGUAGUCUAAAGGAUAUGCAAGGCCAACGUAAAAAUCUCAAAAGUUGUAUCCUUGUUUUGUAUGUCAACAUCUCAAAAUGAAUGUGACAGAAAUACCCUCAAGAAUUUUACAGGACACCUUUAAACAGUUAUGGCUUGUAAAUAAAGUUAAUAAAUCCAUGAACACUUACCUCCUAUUGGUGGGCUGAUCAGGUAGGGAAUAGCAUGCAGAAAAUAGACCACACCCAGAGCGGAGGUCAGGUAGGUGGAGCCUACGACAUCAGAGGUCACCACCGGGAUGAGCGCUACAUACGCCCCGUCAAAGUACCCGUACAGUAUGGAAAAUGGGACCAGGAGGGAGAAGGACUGAAGGAGGGGGAUGAACAUACAGCAGAGGCCCUCCAUGCCUAUCGCCACCAUAUAGCUCAGCAUGCGAUACCUCUUCAGACACCUAGAAGGAAGGAAAACCAUCAGUACUGGGCCUUAAUGAAAUACCUGGCAUUUUUUCACACACACAAAAUCACACCUCUCGACCCUACUUACUCCCUGUCUGUGAUCCAUCCAAAGGUGAUGUUGCCCACAAUGCCGCUGACUCCAAAUAUGGACAUGAGGAAGGCAGCCUGCUUGUGCCCCACCCCCACACUGAGGGCAUAAGGAACCAGGUACACUACUGGAGCACUGCAGCCAUAUGCCAGAAAUAGGAGUGACACAGACAGAAUCAGGAAGUCUGGUAACACCAGAAAUCCAAACUCCUCCCUGGACUUGAGACUAAAACAGAGAUUUCUGGAUGAAGUUUUUGUGAUCACCAAAGGCUGUGGAGGAGGGCUAAUGAUUUUAUCUAAUUGAUAGGCAUCUGUUGGUCUGGCUUCGUGGAUAAGACGCAUGAUUGGUGUGAGAGACCUGGAUUCCCAGAGUCUUCGCUGGUUGCCUUGUACCGUCGGUGACGACAAGACUUCAAGAGCGGCCUCAUCAGAGCACCACAGACACACAGGUUGGAAACAAAUCCUCCCAGGAUGAGCAGUGCUCCUCUCCAGGAGUAAUGCUCUAUAAGUAGUUGGACUGCAGGAGCCAGGAUGAAGGUCCCAAUGCCACUACCUGAAGAUGAGGUGAAAUUGAAUUUAAUGGGAUGAAAUGAGGCAAGGAGAGUAGAGGAGAAGCACAGGUAGGGGGACUUCAACAGACUAAAGAAAAGCAUGGAGGAAAACAGUGAAAGACAUAAGGUAGAAAGAAAAGUGAAUGAAGGUGUAGAAGAGUGGAUGGGAAAGUAAGGUAUUAAUGAGGUGAAAACAAAGCAACAAGUAAGCAAAGAUGUCACUACCAGACAGGGCGAUGCCAUAGGCCAGAGCUUUCCUCUCACUGAAGUACCUCCCAACCAUCGCUAUGGCUGGUGUGUAGCUGAGAGCAAAGCCAAGACCUGUGGAGGAUGGAUAAAGGGUUUGGAGUUUGGCAAAACCUGCCAAAUGUUGCCAAAUCUAAACACAUGUUCUUAUACAUGCAUUACAUUUAAGUGCAUUCAACCUCCACAGAACCAUGAAAUGUCAUCAGAAAAAAAGUAUGUAUCUCCCAAACAAACAACUUAAUGCUUGUAUUUAGUUUUUAAUUAAUAAAAAAAUCAGACAUCAAUAAGUGUGGACUGAAAAGGGUCAGACUCUUACAUGUAUGGGGGUGAGGGUGUAUAAUGUUAUAAUUUGAUUACUAUGGGGAAGGUUUAAGGAGUAAUUAAACAUAAAAUACACAUUAAAUAUUCUAAAUAACAUGGUUAUUUAUAUCUAUAGUAUAAGUGUGCAGAUGCAAAUAAUAUCUAAAAUUGACGCUUUUCAGGUUACAAUGAAGUAAGACAAAGUUGCAGGUUAAAUUGAUGUAGAGAUAUUCCGCCACAGUUGAUAAUAUUACUUUAGAUUUUGAGCAAUUAAGGCAAAAAAAGUUUUAAACUUCAAAAUGGUGAAAUGCAGAUUGAAGUUCAGCUCACUGCAUGUCACUCUCUAUGCUAUCUGCGGGUGCUUCUGAGCUAGCCUAGCACAGAGACACCUCCACUGCCAUUGGUUGAUUUUUUAAUUUUUUUAUUU